AACAAGCUGGGAAUGGGUGACUUGUUCUGCCACGCAACCACCAAGAAUAACUAAAAUGUAACUUUCUUCAUCACUUCAAUGGUUCUAUUUUUAUCCUUUUAGAGGUUCAAACCAUGCAUUUCUGGUAUGUAGCUAGUUGAGAAAUCUCCUGCUUGAAAAAGGAAAUGCAAGAUUCAAGCCUUUUGUGCCAAUUGAAAAUUUAAGAAGUUGAAUAUGUAUUCAAGUAAAUUAAGCAUUUUACCUACGCAUGCAUAUCUAUCCUUUCACCUCUUAUGCAGAGAGCUUUCCAGAAAGAAUCUCAAGGGAGAAAUUCCACCAGAGAUCAAUACUAUGGAUGGGUUGGUGGAAUUGUAAGUCCAACUUGCUUCAAGCAAAGCACUUCGUAACCUAUCCUCAUUGCAACUCAUUGUCAUGUCCUCCUUUUCUUCAGGUGGUUGGAUGGAAAUUCUCUUGCAGGGCCACUUCCUGACAUGAGUAAUCUAAUAAACUUGAAGAUUUUGUAAGCACUUGAGGUUAUCUACAAUUUUCCAUUCAUGAAACAAGACAUUAUGUUUCAUCGUGAUUUAGCAUUGUUAUCUUUGAACAUGCAGACAUCUUGAGAAUAACAAAUUAACAGGGACAUUGCCUUCUUACCUGUGUAGUUUGCCCAACUUGCAGGAACUGUAAGUUCAAAUCUCUAACUUUGAGCGUUGUAUGUCAAAUAGGUUGAAUAGAAAGUUAGGUUAUUGUUUCUCUCAUAACAUUUACGAAAAGCUUGCUUGUUAUAUUGACCGUGUGAAUUGUGUGUGGCAGAUAUAUCCAAAACAAUACAUUUUCUGGUGAAAUACCCUCAGAAUUAUUGGCCAAGAAACUCAUCUUUAAGUAAGUACUCCAACUGAUGCCCCACCAUAAGGCUUUAACUGCCUUUGAGAAUGUGGUUUUCUUUUUUUAGAGACAAAGCAUAAAAAAAUAAGUUACAAAUGCCUUAAGAGUCAGGACUCAUCUAGAGGGAGUCAUGGCUUUAUGGAUGACUGCGUUUUUGUUAGUAGAAAUGAAUCUGUUGGUCCCUAUUUCUUGCACGAAGUAUAUGUAGAUUGUGCACUGUAAGACCUGAUAAAACCACUCACGUGUUUGAAGUUGCUAUUUCUUAUCGAAGAGGAGCAGUCUUAAUAAGAACGACAGGGAUGGGACAUGAAGAGGGGUCCUGAUGUGUUUGUUUUACUUCUUUGUGAUCUUACCUUGCAGGUAUGAUGGUAACGUGGGGCUGCACAAAACUGAACGAUACAAGGUGCAUUCUAAGCUUAUAUUAGGAGUUUCAUUGGGGGUGCUUGUGCUUCUGGUUAUUCUACUUUUAGGAAGUUUGCUGUUACUUCGCAAGCUUCGAAGAAAAACAGCACCUUACCAGAAAAAAGGUUCCCACUCGAGAAACCUGCUUAAUAUUUCUAUUAUAGCGCUACCUUUUCUAAAUUAUGUCAUGUCUUGUGGGCUUUAGGUGGUUCUCUGAAUAUCAGCACGAAACGCUCUUCUGCAUACUCGAUCGGCAAGGGGGACGAAGGCAUGGCCUAUUAUUUAUCCCUCUCCGAGCUGGAAGAAGCGACAAAUAACUUCUCUAAGAAAAUUGGUAAAGGCAGCUUUGGGUCAGUCUUUUAUGGGAAAAUGAUUGAUGGCAAAGAAGUUGCCGUCAAGAUCAUGGCCGAGUCAUCUACACAUGGGAAUCAACAAUUUAUGACUGAGGUAGGUCGUUGGCCUAUUAUUGGAUGGAUCUCGUUGUGUUUACAUAAUUUUAUAUUGCUAAAAAUGAAUCAAACGUUUACGCAUAGAUUAGUCCAUUUAAGAUGCCUGUGGUUCUUAUGUUGCCAAGAGAGAACUAUAUACUCUUAACUCAACAACUUUAAAAAAGAAAACGAGGGAGAGUGAAUACAGUUUACAUGUAAAAUAGUACUCGAUUUUACCAAACCUGUAAAUAUCAACAGGUUGCCCUCUUAUCAAGAAUUCAUCACCGAAAUUUGGUCCCUUUGAUCGGAUACUGUGAAGAAGAACAUCAACGGAUACUGGUAUAUGAAUACAUGCAUAAUGGGACAUUGCGAGAUCACUUAUAUGGUUUGUUCUUCCAUCCCGUCUUAAGAAAAGUUCACUUUUCCAGUCCUUCUCCAUUAAUCAUUCAUCGGCAGGUUCUACGACUCAAAAGCACUUGGACUGGCUGGCUCGCUUGCACAUAGCAGAAGAUGCAGCUAAAGGUUCAUCCUAGUGAAAAACUAUAAUUUUUUCUCUGAAUUUUGGCUCUCCAUCUUCAAGCCUUGCCUUCUGCUUCUUCUUCUUCUUUUUAAUUUUUUUUUCUGAAAUGAAUUUAUCAUUUUUCAGGGCUUGAGUAUUUGCACACAGGAUGCAGCCCGAGUAUCAUCCAUCGAGAUGUAAAAACUAGCAACAUACUCCUGGACAUCAAUAUGAGGGCAAAAGUUUCUGACUUUGGCCUCUCAAGGCAAGCUGAGGAGGAUUUGACCCAUGUUUCAAGCGUUGCUCGAGGAACCGUAGGCUAUUUGGAUCCUGAGUAUGCCAAACUUUAUUGCUUUUCCAUGACACAUUUCACCCCCUUCCCCUGCUCAUAAGCAUAACUAUAGACAUAUCAAAAUAACAGGUAUUAUGCUUGUCAACAACUCACCGAAAAGAGCGACGUAUAUAGUUUUGGGGUUGUGCUGCUCGAACUGAUCUCUGGGAAGAAACCUGUCUCACCAGAAGACUAUGGGAAUGAAUUGAACAUUGUUCACUGGGUAUGUAAGAUCUUC
RNAcentral lists this long non-coding RNA (2762 nucleotides) under Cucumis sativus (cucumber). RNAcentral describes it as "long non-coding RNA (CSAT_LNC002062)". Lineage: Eukaryota; Viridiplantae; Streptophyta; Magnoliopsida; Cucurbitales; Cucurbitaceae. The record is from RNAcentral.